GCAUUACGAGCCCAAGCUUACAACCCAAAGGACUUGACGGUGUUCCACCCACCUAGAGGAGCCUGUUCUAUAAUCGAUUUUCCCCGAUCAACCCCGCCAUCUUUUGAAUACUCAGCCUGUAUACCUCCGUCGCAAGCUUACCCUAUGAAUGCACUUAGUGAGCCCAAUGAUUUAACACCCACACGUCAGGUCAAGGUGCAGCCCACAAGAUGGAAAGAAAUGGGCUACAAUUUCUACCCUAGAACAAACGAAAGACUACAUGAAACACAGCCACUGAAGGCGGAUUUAGUAGUAAAAAGAAAAUAGAGAGUUCUUUUUAAUCAGGCACUGGAACGCGUACACACCGCCCGUCACCCUCUUCAAACACAAAUAUUAUGUUAUUGACACCACACACAAAACAGAAGAGGUAAGUCGUAACACGGUAAGCGUACUGGAAAGUGCGCUUGGAAUAACAAAAUGUAACUUAAUAAAAGUAUCUUGCUUACACCAAGAACAUGUCUGUGAAACCCCGACCAUCUUGAGCUUAAAGCCCAGCCCCACUAAACUUAAUGAACCAG
This 557-nucleotide ribosomal RNA is filed under the name Mantophryne cf. lateralis LAO-2013. RNAcentral describes it as "partial 12S ribosomal RNA". The stretch from base 1 to 459 matches the Rfam family "Bacterial small subunit ribosomal RNA", at positions 877 to 1533 of the family's 1533-position model. The record is from RNAcentral. Lineage: Eukaryota; Metazoa; Chordata; Amphibia; Anura; Microhylidae.